Molecule: ribosomal RNA, 433 nt
Filed under: uncultured bacterium
Lineage: Bacteria
Description: partial 16S ribosomal RNA
Rfam family: Bacterial small subunit ribosomal RNA
Source: RNAcentral
AACGAACGCUGGCGGCAUGCCUAACACAUGCAAGUCGAAGGAGACCUUCGGGUCUAGUGGCGCACGGGUGCGUAACUCGUGGGAACCUGCCCUUAGGUUCGGAAUAACUCCCCGAAAGGGGUGCUAAUACCGGAUAAUGUCUUCGGACCAAAGAUUUAUCGCCUUUGGAUGGGCCCGCGUUGGAUUAGCUAGUUGGUAGGGUAAAAGCCUACCAAGGCGACGAUCCAUAGCUGGUCUGAGAGGAUGAUCAGCCACACUGGGACUGAGACACGGCCCAGACUCCUACGGGAGGCAGCAGUGGGGAAUAUUGGACAAUGGGCGAAAGCCUGAUCCAGCAAUGCCGCGUGAGUGAUGAAGGCCUUAGGGUUGUAAAGCUCUUUUACCCGGGAUGAUAAUGACAGUACCGGGAGAAUAAGCUCCGGCUAACUCCGUG